This 379-nucleotide ribosomal RNA is filed under the name marine Metazoa environmental sample. RNAcentral's name for it is "SSU rRNA". It matches the Rfam family "Eukaryotic small subunit ribosomal RNA", at positions 587 to 972 of the family's 1831-position model. The record is from RNAcentral. Lineage: Eukaryota; Metazoa.
AGCUCCAAUAGCGUAUAUUAAAGUUGUUGCAGUUAAAAAGCUCGUAGUUGGAUUUCGGAAUGGGCCAGUUGGUCCGCCGCAAGGUGAGUUACUGACUGGUUUGUUCUUCUUCGCAAAGACUGCGUGUGCUCUUUACUGCGUGUACGUAGGAUUUACGACGUUUACUUUGAAAAAAUUAGAGUGUUCAAAGCAGGCUAUCGCUUGAAUACAUGAGCAUGGAAUAAUGGAAUAGGACAUGGGUUCUAUUUGGUUGGUUUCUAGUACCGAAGUAAUGAUUAAGAGGGACAAUUGGGGGAAUCCGGAUUACGUUGUCAGAGGGGAAAUUCUUGGAUUUACGAAAGACGAACAACUGCGAAAGCACUUGCCAAGAGUGUUGUCA